AAGUCGUAACAAGGUCUCCGUUGGUGAACCAGCGGAGGGAUCAUUACAGAGUUAUCUAACUCCCAAACCCAUGUGAACUUACCUUUGUUGCCUCGGCAGUAGUUGCUGGGCGAGCCUACCCGGGAACGAGCUACCCUGUAGCGAGUUACCCUGGAACGACUUACCCUGUAACGCCUGCCGGUGGACUACUAAACUCUUGUUAUUUUUAAAGUAAUCUGAGCGUCUUAUUUUAAUAAGUCAAAACUUUCAACAACGGAUCUCUUGGUUCUG
This 270-nucleotide unclassified non-coding RNA is filed under the name Bartalinia robillardoides. Its description in RNAcentral is "partial internal transcribed spacer region". The stretch from base 1 to 46 matches the Rfam family "Eukaryotic small subunit ribosomal RNA", at positions 1786 to 1831 of the family's 1831-position model. The record is from RNAcentral. Lineage: Eukaryota; Fungi; Ascomycota; Sordariomycetes; Amphisphaeriales; Sporocadaceae.